This 434-nucleotide ribosomal RNA is filed under the name uncultured Oscillospiraceae bacterium. RNAcentral describes it as "partial 16S ribosomal RNA". It matches the Rfam family "Bacterial small subunit ribosomal RNA", at positions 341 to 792 of the family's 1533-position model. Lineage: Bacteria; Bacillati; Bacillota; Clostridia; Eubacteriales; Oscillospiraceae. The record is from RNAcentral.
ACGGAAGGCAGCAGUGGGGAAUAUUGGUCAAUGGGGGAAACCCUGAACCAGCAACGCCGCGUGAAGGAUGAAGGUUUUCGGAUUGUAAACUUCUUUGACGAGGAACGAUAAUGACGGUACCUCGAAAACAAGCCACGGCUAACUACGUGCCAGCAGCCGCGGUAAUACGUAGGUGGCGAGCGUUGUCCGGAUUUACUGGGUGUAAAGGGCGUGUAGGCGGAUCAACAAAUCAGAUGUGAAAACCCGCGGCUUAACUGCGGGACUGCAUUUGAAACUGUAAGUCUUGAGUACUGGAGAGGAAAGCGGAAUUCCCGGUGUAGCGGUGAAAUGCGUAGAUAUUGGGAGGAACACCAGUGGCGAAGGCGACUUACUGGACUGUAACUGACGCUGAGGCGCGAAAGUGCGGGGAGCAAACAGGAUUAGAUACCCUGGUA